Molecule: long non-coding RNA, 648 nt
Organism: Homo sapiens (human)
Lineage: Eukaryota; Metazoa; Chordata; Mammalia; Primates; Hominidae
Gene: NAF1-AS1
Product: NAF1 antisense RNA 1
Exons: 3
Source: RefSeq, a predicted model, not a curated record
AUUUGAGGAUACAGUACUCUCCCCUCAUCUGUGCUGUCACUUUUCGUGGUUUCAGUUACCUUCAGUCAACCAUGGUCUGAAAAUAGGUUGGUUCAUUAACGGAAAUAUUAACAGCAACUUAUAUGUACUUCUCCACUUGUUGCUCCAAGAGAUUUACAGCCUCUUUUUCUGUCUUCAGAUACUACUUUGAAAACAAGAUGAAAGCCAUGGAAUCUCCCGAGAAAAAUGUACAUCUUACAGACUUUCAGUGAGUUCUGGAAUACCAGGAACCAGAGCCCACACUAAUGAACAGCAGUUUCCUAACCUAAUGCGAGAGAUUUGAGAUUUCUUCUGGCUCCCAUGAUCUUCUAAUUGUCUUCUUAGCAAGACUAAACACAUCUCCAAGAAAUGUGCACUGCCAUGAAUGUCUUCCAGCUAUCUUCUAUGACAGCACUUCCCAGUGUGUUCUGUGGAAUAAUGGUACAGGGUGAUAUUCUAUGAAGAAAAAUACGGAAAGUAAUAUACUCCACAGUCCGUAUAUUAGAUCGGACUAAUAAAAAUAAAUAUGGAAAGUAAUAUAUUCCACAGUCAUAUAUUAGAUCGCCUACACAACAGCAAUUUGAUAUAGUUUAAUAGGAUUUGAAUGAAUAAAAUUAAUGCCCACAGCUA